Molecule: long non-coding RNA, 397 nt
Organism: Penaeus monodon (black tiger shrimp)
Lineage: Eukaryota; Metazoa; Arthropoda; Malacostraca; Decapoda; Penaeidae
Exons: 2
Source: RefSeq, a predicted model, not a curated record
GGGAUUAUUAGGUAACAGUGAUGGUUUCCCUUAAUUGAUGUUUCCGACUGCCGGUCGAUUAUUUGGUUGUUUGUUUACGUGUGUAUGAGGCGUUUAGUUCCCGCCGCCAAAGCAAUGUCGGUGACCUCUCAGCAUGGACGGUCACUUAGCUCCGAUCUUCUCGACUGAUCACAUCCUCUUUUACAUUUAUGGUCGAAUCAGAGAGAGAGAGAAGCAGUUAAUACGACUCUGGGUGCUCCACUCUUUGGCCAUACGACUCUGGGUGCUCCACGCUUUGGCCAUACGGCUCCUGACGCCCUACAAUUAUCAGCAAAAGACCGAGUACAACUAAUUCAAAUUACCUGUCAACCAUAUAUUUAAUUGUUGUAAAUAUUCCUGAAUAUACAUAUGUGUGUUA